Molecule: ribosomal RNA, 424 nt
Filed under: uncultured prokaryote
Description: bacterial SSU rRNA
Rfam family: Bacterial small subunit ribosomal RNA
Source: RNAcentral
UGGGGAAUAUUGGACAAUGGGGGCAACCCUGAUCCAGCAAUGCCGCGUGAGUGAAGAAGGCCUUAGGGUUGUAAAACUCUUUCACUGAUGAAGAUGAUGACGGUAAUCAGAGAAGAAGCCCCGGCUAACUCCGUGCCAGCAGCCGCGGUAAUACGGAGGGGGCUAGCGUUGUUCAGAAUUACUGGGCGUAAAGCGCACGUAGGCGGCGUAUCCAGUCAGGGGUGAAAGGCCUGGGCUCAACCCGGGAACGGCCUUUGAUACUGAUAUGCUUGAGUACGGGAGAGGGUAGUGGAAUUCCCAGUGUAGAGGUGAAAUUCGUAGAUAUUGGGAAGAACACCGGUGGCGAAGGCGGCUACCUGGCCCGGGACUGACGCUGAGGUGCGAAAGCGUGGGGAGCAAACAGGAUUAGAUACCCGCGUAGUCC